CGGACGGGUGAGUAACGCGUGAGAAUCUGGCUCCAGGAUGGGGAUAACAGUUGGAAACGACUGCCAAUACCCGAUGUGCCAAUAGGUGAAAGAUUUAUCGCCUGGGGAUGAGCUCGCGUCUGAUUAGCUAGUUGGUGGGGUAAGAGCCUACCAAGGCGACGAUCAGUAGCUGGUUUGAGAGGAUGAUCAGCCACACUGGGACUGAGACACGGCCCAGACUCCUACGGGAGGCAGCAGUGGGGAAUUUUCCGCAAUGGGCGCAAGCCUGACGGAGCAACGCCGCGUGGGGGAAGAAGGUUUGUGGAUUGUAAACCCCUUUUCUCAGGGAAGAAGCACUGACGGUACCUGAGGAAUAAGCAUCGGCUAGCUCCGUGCCAGCAGCCGCGGUAAUACGGAGGAUGCAAGCGUUAUCCGGAAUCAUUGGGCGUAAAGCGUCCGCAGGUGGCUGAACAAGUCUGCUGUUAAAGCCCAGAGCUCAACUCUGGAUCAGCAGUGGAAACUGUUUAGCUAGAGUGCGAUAGGGGUCAGGGAAUUCCCAGUGUAGCGGUGAAAUGCGUAGAGAUUGGGAAGAACACCAGUGGCGAAAGCGCGUGACUGGAUCGCAACUGACACUCAUGGACGAAAGCUAGGGGAGCGAAAGGGAUUAGAUACCCCAGUAGUC
This 661-nucleotide ribosomal RNA is filed under the name uncultured cyanobacterium. Its description in RNAcentral is "bacterial SSU rRNA". It matches the Rfam family "Bacterial small subunit ribosomal RNA", at positions 99 to 795 of the family's 1533-position model. The record is from RNAcentral. Lineage: Bacteria; Bacillati; Cyanobacteriota.